GAUUUCACAGAUUCACAAGAAUGGUUGAGGUUGGAAGGGACCUCCGGAGAUCAUCGAGUCCAAGCCCACUGCUCAAGCAGAGUCACCUAGAGCACGUUACACAGGAUUGCAUACAGGCAGGUUUUGAAUAUUUCCAAAGGAGGAGACUCCACAACCUCUCUGGGCAGCCUGUUCCAGUGAUUUGUCACCCAAACUGUAAAGAAGUUCUUCCUCAUAUGGCAAUGAAACCUCCUGUAGUUCAAUUUAUACCCAUUACCCCUUUUCCUAUCACUGGCCACCACUGAGAAGAGUUUGGCCCCAUCCACUUUGC
Oxyura jamaicensis (ruddy duck) is the source of this 310-nucleotide long non-coding RNA. RefSeq lists it as uncharacterized. NCBI's taxonomy places the organism in Eukaryota, Metazoa, Chordata, Aves, Anseriformes, Anatidae. The transcript has 3 exons. The record is from RefSeq and is a predicted model, not a curated record.